Molecule: long non-coding RNA, 214 nt
Filed under: Prunus persica (peach)
Lineage: Eukaryota; Viridiplantae; Streptophyta; Magnoliopsida; Rosales; Rosaceae
Description: long non-coding RNA (PPER_LNC005677)
Source: RNAcentral
CAACUUCUAUAGGAAAUACUUCUACUAAAUUUUUUUUUUUGGUAAAUUGGUAAAAGUGCAAAGAGCGUGGGACUAAGGGCACUUUAGGCAUGCUGGCUAGAAGUGCUUUUACAAGAAGAGCAUGUCGAAAUUUUUGUUGAAUGAAGUAUGCAUCAUAAUUGCAAAUAUCAUGCAUGACUUUAUUGAACAAAUUGAGUUAUAUUCUAUAUCGCCC